AGCAGAGUAAGCUAAACAAGCUAUCGGGCCCAUACCCCGAAAAUGAAGGCCAGACUCCUUCCUCUACUA
Molecule: transfer RNA, 69 nt
Filed under: Falcunculus frontatus (Eastern shriketit)
Lineage: Eukaryota; Metazoa; Chordata; Aves; Passeriformes
Description: tRNA-Met
Source: RNAcentral